GUCAGGAUUGGCUAGUUAACUGAUACCUAGAAAAAGAGUCCAGAGACAAGAGCCCAAAGAAAGGUGGUUCUCUAAUUAGAUCCAUUGCGAAAGUAUGGGGACCCUUUCACUGAUCUUACCCUUAUCGGACUAGUUGGCUAGUUGGUUUCUGACUUGGAGGGCUCCAAGGCGGUCUUGGCAGUUAGGAGCUGUCUAGAAUUAGAGUA
This 206-nucleotide long non-coding RNA is filed under the name Elaeis guineensis (African oil palm). Its description in RNAcentral is "long non-coding RNA (EGUI_LNC012436)". The record is from RNAcentral. Lineage: Eukaryota; Viridiplantae; Streptophyta; Magnoliopsida; Arecales; Arecaceae.